GACGAACGCUGGCGGCGUGCUUAACACAUGCAAGUCGAACGUGAUUUCUGUGUUAAUUGUAUUGGGAAUGGGAAUGAAAUGGAAGCGGCGAAGGGACGAGUAAUACGUUAGCAACCUACCUCACACAGCGGGAGAGCCGAUGGAAACGACGUCUAAUAUCGCUUGAGAGCACUGAAGAGCUUGAUCUAGUGGUCAAGGAGUCAUCGGUGUGAGAAGGGCUCGUGUCUGAUUAGCUAGGUGGAAGGGUAAAGGCUUACCAAGGCGACGAGCAGUAGCUGGUCUGAGACGAUGCACAGCGACAUUGGAACUGAGACACGGUCCAGACUGGUGCGAGAAGCAGCGAUGAGGGCUAUUGCACCAGGAGGGGGACCCUGAUGCAGCGACGCCGGGUGGACGAAGAAGGUGUUCGAAUCCUAAAGCACCGUCGGAUGAGAAGAUGAUGACGGUAUCAGAGGAAGAAGCACCGGCUAAAUACGUG
Molecule: ribosomal RNA, 478 nt
Filed under: uncultured bacterium
Lineage: Bacteria
Description: partial 16S ribosomal RNA
Rfam family: Bacterial small subunit ribosomal RNA
Source: RNAcentral